UGCAUCUGAGGCCAGUGAGGAUGAGAACCUCCGGGGGCAGGAGGUUCGACUCGAGCGAAGCGAGAGAACGUUGCGUCAGCAACGGCCCGCAGGGCGAGCCA
This 101-nucleotide small RNA is filed under the name Klebsiella pneumoniae. RNAcentral's name for it is "partial RtT sRNA". It matches the Rfam family "RtT RNA", at positions 1 to 98 of the family's 130-position model. From Rfam's summary of the family: This family represents a bacterial cis-regulatory element known as RtT RNA. The exact function of RtT is unknown although it is thought that it may be involved in changing the cellular response in relation to amino acid starvation. Lineage: Bacteria; Pseudomonadati; Pseudomonadota; Gammaproteobacteria; Enterobacterales; Enterobacteriaceae. The record is from RNAcentral.